GUCGGACGGCAGCACAGAGAAGCUUGCUUCUUGGGUGGCGAGUGGCGAACGGGUGAGUAAUAUAUUGGAACGUACCGAGUAAUGGGGGAUAACUUGCCGAAAGGUAAGCUAAUACCGCAUACGCUCUGAGGAGGAAAGCAGGGGACCUUUGGGCCUUGCGUUAUUCGAGCGGCCAAUAUCUGAUUAGCUAGUUGGUGGGGUAAAGGCCUACCAAGGCGACGAUCAGUAGCGGGUCUGAGAGGAUGAUCCGCCACACUGGGACUGAGACACGGCCCAGACUCCUACGGGAGGCAGCAGUGGGGAAUUUUGGACAAUGGGCGCAAGCCUGAUCCAGCCAUGCCGCGUGUCUGAAGAAGGCCUUCGGGUUGUAAAGGACUUUUGUCAGGGAAGAAAAGGUUGUGGCUAAUAUCCAUGACUGAUGACGGUACCUGAAGAAUAAGCACCGGCUAACUACGUGCCAGCAGCCGCGGUAAUACGUAGGGUGCGAGCGUUAAUCGGAAUUACUGGGCGUAAAGCGAGCGCAGACGGUUACUU
This 534-nucleotide ribosomal RNA is filed under the name Neisseria weaveri. RNAcentral describes it as "bacterial SSU rRNA". It matches the Rfam family "Bacterial small subunit ribosomal RNA", at positions 61 to 584 of the family's 1533-position model. Lineage: Bacteria; Pseudomonadati; Pseudomonadota; Betaproteobacteria; Neisseriales; Neisseriaceae. The record is from RNAcentral.